UGCAUCUCCCGGACGUGUUUCCCAAGUAGCACCGAGCCCGUGAAAUUCGGUGUGAAUCUGGCGGGACCACCCGCUAAGCCUGAAUACUCCCUGGUGACCGAUAGCGGACAAGUACCGUGAGGGAAAGGUGAAAAGUACCCCGGGAGGGGAGUGAAAUAGUACCUGAAACCGUGUGCCUACAAGCCGUGAGAGCCUUAGGACCUUCUGGUUCGGGGUGAUUGCGUGCCUUUUGAAGAAUGAGCCUGCGAGUUAGUGGUACGUGGCGAGGUUAACCCGUGGGGGGUAGCCGUAGCGAAAGCGAGUCCGAACAGGGCGAUCUAGUCGCGUGCUCUAGACCCGAAGCCGAGUGAUCUACCCAUGGCCAGGUUGAAGCGCGGGUAAGACCGCGUGGAGGACCGAACCCACUUAGGUUGAAAACUGAGGGGAUGAGCUGUGGGUAGGGGUGAAAGGCCAAUCAAACUCGGUGAUAGCUGGUUCUCCCCGAAAUGCAUUUAGGUGCAGCGUCACGUGUUUCUUGCCGGAGGUAGAGCACUGGAUGGCCGAUGGGCCCCACAAGGUUACUGACGUCAACCAAAC
This 576-nucleotide ribosomal RNA is filed under the name Blastococcus sp. TF02-09. RNAcentral describes it as "Blastococcus sp. TF02-9 Bacterial large subunit ribosomal RNA". It matches the Rfam family "Bacterial large subunit ribosomal RNA", at positions 387 to 954 of the family's 2925-position model. Lineage: Bacteria; Bacillati; Actinomycetota; Actinomycetes; Geodermatophilales; Geodermatophilaceae. The record is from Rfam by way of RNAcentral.